Molecule: long non-coding RNA, 230 nt
Filed under: Elaeis guineensis (African oil palm)
Lineage: Eukaryota; Viridiplantae; Streptophyta; Magnoliopsida; Arecales; Arecaceae
Description: long non-coding RNA (EGUI_LNC038427)
Source: RNAcentral
AGAAGAAACCUGACCAAAAGAGAGCCGAGCAAGGAGAAAGAAAAAGAGAAGGAACAACCCUUGUGCUAUGAAUGUAAAAAAUUUAGACACUUCAAGGCAGACUAUCCAACUUUAAAGAAAUCAUUCAAAAGAAUCAAGAAGAAGGUCAUGGUAGCAACAUGGAGCGACAGUGACAAGUCUAGCUCUAAAGAGGAAAUCCAAAAUAAAGCAAACUUCUGUUUUAUGGCACU